GAUGAACGCUAGCGGGAGGCUUAACACAUGCAAGUCGAGGGGCAGCACUGAUAGCAAUAUUAGGUGGCGACCGGCGGACGGGUGAGUAACGCGUAUGCAACCUACCCUUUACAGGGGGAUAGCCCGGAGAAAUUCGGAUUAAUACCCCAUAGAUCAGUGAUUCUGCAUGGGAUUACUGGUAAAGCUUCGGCGGUAAAGGAUGGGCAUGCGUCCCAUUAGCUAGUUGGUAGGGUAACGGCCUACCAAGGCAACGAUGGGUACGGGGUCUUAAAGGAUGGACCCGCACACUGGCACUGAGACACGGGCCAGACUCCUACGGGAGGCAGCAGUGAGGAAUAUUGGUCAAUGGGGGGAACCCUGAACCAGCCAUCCCGCGUGCAGGAAGACAGUUCUAUGGAUUGUAAACUGCUUUUCUUGGGGAAGAAUAAUGACGACGUGUCGUCAGAUGACGGUACCCGAGGAAUAAGCAUCGGCUAACUCCGUGCCAGCAGCCGCGGUAAAACGU
This 505-nucleotide ribosomal RNA is filed under the name uncultured bacterium. RNAcentral's name for it is "bacterial SSU rRNA". It matches the Rfam family "Bacterial small subunit ribosomal RNA", at positions 28 to 528 of the family's 1533-position model. The record is from RNAcentral.